This 253-nucleotide ribosomal RNA is filed under the name uncultured bacterium. RNAcentral's name for it is "partial 16S ribosomal RNA". It matches the Rfam family "Bacterial small subunit ribosomal RNA", at positions 524 to 776 of the family's 1533-position model. The record is from RNAcentral.
UACGUAGGGUGCGAGCGUUAAUCGGAAUUACUGGGCGUAAAGGGUGCGCAGGUGGUUACGUAAGUCUGAUGUGAAAGCCCCGGGCUCAAUUUGGGAAUUGCAUUGGAGACUGUGUGGCUAGAGUGUGGUAGAGGGGGGUGGAAUUUUGUGUGUAGUAGUGAAAUGUUUAGAGAUGCGGAGGAACACCAAUGGCGAAGGCAGCCCCCUGGGUUAACACUGACACUCAUGCACGAAAGCGUGGGGAGCAAACAGG